This 649-nucleotide long non-coding RNA is filed under the name Mus pahari (shrew mouse). RNAcentral describes it as "predicted gene 27239 (MGP_PahariEiJ_G0002707.1)". The record is from RNAcentral. Lineage: Eukaryota; Metazoa; Chordata; Mammalia; Rodentia; Muridae.
GCGUUCUCCUCCCCUCUGCUGUCCCCCNNNNNNNNNNNNNNNNNNNNNNNNNNNNCCGGAGCGCCUGCCCCGCCCGCUGCCACCACCAGGGCUUCACGGCUCCGCGCCCGCCUGCCAGGGCCUCCCCACGGCGGGCGGCUUCUUAAGUCCGGAGGAGGGAGGGGACAGCGGGGCCUAGGUAUCGCUCCCCCCUUUUCGUUCCCGCCGGCUCCGUGGCCCCAGCGCCUACUGUCCUGGCCUACGGAGUGGGCUUCGAAUGCGACUCAAAGUUCCAAGUCCACGAAAGUCCAGCGAGCCUGCCGCAUGUUGUCGGGAAUUCGGGGAUAACGUGGGGGCCAGGACCCCAAACUAACUAACUAACUUGCCAGGCUCUUGGAAAGCUGUCUUUCGGGUCUAGGCUUGGGUUCCUACACUGCGUUCUCCUGCUAGUCUAAGUAGUUCCCCGAAACAACAGCUUUCGGCUCCGGGAAGAGCGCAAGAGAACUGUGCGGAGGAAGGACGCGCACAGGUUGGAGUCGCCUCCAAACAGCCCCAAGAGCCACUUACGAAAAAAAAAAUUCCUUAAGGUUGGUUUGUUUUUCCUUUUGGUGGAGGGUGUACUCAUUUAAGUUGAAAAACAAAAAAAGCAAAUAAAAGAUGUUCGAAACUG